CCUACGGGCGGCUGCAGUAGGGAAUAUUGCUCAAUGGGGGAAACCCUGAAGCAGCAACGCCGCGUGGAGGAUGAAGGUUUUCGGAUUGUAAACUCCUUUUGUGCGGGAGCAAUAAUGGUCACGUGUGGCCAGACGAGAGUACCGUACGAAUAAGCAUCGGCUAACUCCGUGCCAGCAGCCGCGGUAAUACGGGGGAUGCAAGCGUUAUCCGGAUUUAUUGGGUUUAAAGGGUGCGUAGGCUGUGAGGUAAGUCAGCGGUGAAAUGCCCCCGCUCAACGGGGUGAAGUGCCAUUGAUACUGCCGUGCUGGAAUGCGGAUGCCGUGGGAGGAAUGUGUGGUGUAGCGGUGAAAUGCAUAGAUAUCACACAGAACACCGAUUGCGAAGGCAUCUCACGAAUCCGCGAUUGACGCUGAUGCACGAAAGCGUGGGUAUCAAACAGGAUUAGAUACCCCUGUAGUC
This 460-nucleotide ribosomal RNA is filed under the name uncultured bacterium. Its description in RNAcentral is "partial 16S ribosomal RNA". It matches the Rfam family "Bacterial small subunit ribosomal RNA", at positions 338 to 795 of the family's 1533-position model. The record is from RNAcentral.